AGCAGUCGCCGCGGGAAUACGUAGGGUGCAAGCGUUAAUCGGAAUUACUGGGCGUAAAGCGUGCGCAGGCGGUUCUAUAAGACAGAUGUGAAAUCCCCGGGCUCAACCUGGGAACUGCAUUUGUGACUGUAGAGCUGGAGUACGGCAGAGGGGGAUGGAAUUCCGCGUGUAGCAGUGAAAUGCGUAGAUAUGCGGAGGAACACCGAUGGCGAAGGCAAUCCCCUGGGCCUGUACUGACGCUCAUGCACGAAAGCGUGGGGAGCAAACAGGAUUAGAUACCCCGGUAGUCCCUGUCUCUUAUAC
Molecule: ribosomal RNA, 303 nt
Filed under: uncultured bacterium
Lineage: Bacteria
Description: partial 16S ribosomal RNA
Rfam family: Bacterial small subunit ribosomal RNA
Source: RNAcentral